This 30-nucleotide non-coding RNA is filed under the name Mus musculus (house mouse). Lineage: Eukaryota; Metazoa; Chordata; Mammalia; Rodentia; Muridae. The record is from RNAcentral.
AGUCAUUAUUUUCUUUGUGUUACUAUGAGC